This 1744-nucleotide long non-coding RNA is filed under the name Phasianus colchicus (ring-necked pheasant). RNAcentral describes it as "lncRNA (ENSPCLG00000003009.1)". The record is from RNAcentral. Lineage: Eukaryota; Metazoa; Chordata; Aves; Galliformes; Phasianidae.
CUUCUUUUCUUUCUCAUCCUUUGAGUUCUACAGAUUAUUUUUUAAACUUCAUAAUUUUAAUUCUGGUGACUUGAUUCACCUAAAUUUAAACAGAUUUUUUCUUUUUUUCCCCAUAAUAAUUUCCAUUUCUAUGGGAACUGUUGAGUCACAGCCUGAACCACUGAUUGAUCACCUGAGGACAGGACUGAAUCAGCCCUGGGAACAUAGAUGAAGGCUGUAGACCCCAUUUAAGGGCUGACUGCCACUAGGAAGGAUCUCUUUCUGGAGAUCCCUCUUCUGUGAAGUCUUUUCUGUGAACCUAGAUCUUUGGAUACAGGUGAGCAUUCUUUCCUUGUUUGUUUCUUUUCCCAUUUCCACCAUGAUGAUCUUUCCAGCUGUAACGCCGACUGUAACACUGUUUAUACUUCUUCAUCACAAUUCCUAAUGUCUGCGUUGAAUGGCAAGCAUGUACUUAUUGGAACAGAAUUAGAGGUUAUCCUUUAACAUAAAAUGCCUAUUAGUCAAAGGCAAUUACAUUUAAUACUUUUUGGGGCUAAGUUACAGCAGGCUCUUGAUGCUUAAAAGCUGUUAAUGUGUUUCAGAAAUGUAGUGGCACACGUUUGCGAAGUGCUUCCUUGUUUUUAUUUUUACUAGGUGUAAUUCAGUUUUUGAAAAGUCCUUGAGUGUUGGCUGACAUCUGGUUUAGGCUCUUUUCCGUAAGUGAGAAUUCUUCUUGUUACUGCUAUAGCAGCAAGUGUGUUUGAAUGAAAAGGUAAUGACUUAUCUCUUUUUAUAUUACAUGCGGAUGCUUAGAAGCAAUCCUCAAUACUAUUUAAAACUAUAUAAUAAUAUGUGUUUAUCAUCGAGCGUUUACAAGGGCUCAAUAAGGAGGCAAGUUUUCUCUUUAUUUUAGCAUCUGUGGAAAGAACAAAAGAGAGAAGGGAAAACAGGAUUUUCUGUAAAAAGGAUUCAAGAAGGCAAAAUUCAGAGCUUGGUGUUUGGAUCCAUAUUCCAGGCCAGCCUCAAAAUCAGAUUGGACAUUUAAAGGUGGCUUUCCUCUAUUACGUGUUCUCCUGUCACACAUCCUAUCAGCUUACACUAGAAAGUGUCCCUUCUGGUAGUCUCCAAGCACAAGGUCUGUUCACACAGAAGUUCUGGAACACGUGCAGUGUUGGUUGCGUCACUGAUUACAUGGGAACUUGACAAAUUAUAAUAAUUACGUUCCUGUUCAUGAAGUUUCUGCUUUACAGGGAACUGGAGACGGUGAUACUCAUUUGCAAUUACCUUUGUGAACUGCUGUAAUUACGCACUUGGAAAAUGACAGCAUUUUACUUUUCCUCAUUGUUCAAAGAACAGAUGACUGUGGGCAAGAAGUACCUUGCAAAGGCUCUGAAUUACACUUAAGUAUUUGCUGUUCAAUGAUACUUAAUCCUGUGUUAUUACUUUUACUAUUUUUAAGUUUUUAGUCGAGGGUUUUUUUUGUCUUUUUUUUCUUUUUUCUUAAGCCACUGGAGUGUCUGAUUGUUCUGGCUUCCAAUUCCAGUUAAUGUACUGACUGCUGAGUUACCAAAGGUAUUGUGUAUGUACACAUGCCAUAUAAACCCAUCUCUGCCUACAUUAACACCAUACCAUGUAUGUGGAGACAAAGUGGAUUUAUGUGAAUCUUUAUCUUAUCACCACUUCAAUUUCAAUCUUUCUCUCCAGGAUUUACAGUGGCAUUUCAGGGGUUACCAUUAACAGAAAUAAAAUGCCCAACAAAACUCCA